Pelobates cultripes (western spadefoot toad) is the source of this 296-nucleotide non-coding RNA. The record is from the annotation of a GenBank genome assembly. Lineage: Eukaryota; Metazoa; Chordata; Amphibia; Anura; Pelobatidae.
AUACUUUUUAAAAAAUAUAUAUUUUUGUCUGUCGUAUAGGGCUUUGACUUUUAAACUGUGCUACAAAAUAUGCCUCCCAAAAAGACAACCGAUAAACCUGAUACAAACAAAUCCAUUAAUGUUAAUUAUUCUCCCAAAACAGAUAAACCCCAAGCACAAAAAAAUAUCUCUUUCACCCUGUCCAUUGGAAAGCUCAUCAACAAUUAAUCCCAUCCCCAUCCCUGACAUUUCUCCACCAGAAGUUUGAUCAAAUUAGUGGACGAGCUGUAUGAGAAAAUUAAGAACGAUUUUAAACA